UACGUAGGGGGCAAGCGUUGUCCGGAUUCAUUGGGCGUAAAGGGUGCGUAGGCGGCGCGGUAAGUCGGGUGUGAAAUCUCGGGGCUUAACUCCGAAACUGCAUUCGAUACUGCCGUGCUUGAGGACUGGAGAGGAGACUGGAAUUUACGGUGUAGCGGUGAAAUGCGUAGAUAUCGUAAGGAAGACCAGUGGCGAAGGCGGGUCUCUGGACAGUUCCUGACGCUGAGGCACGAAGGCCAGGGGAGCAAACG
Molecule: ribosomal RNA, 251 nt
Filed under: uncultured prokaryote
Description: partial 16S ribosomal RNA
Rfam family: Bacterial small subunit ribosomal RNA
Source: RNAcentral